CAUAGCCUUUAGCCCCAACCGUAUUAAAGGUAACGCCUGCCCAGUGAAGUUUAAACGGCCGCGGUAUCCUAACCGUGCAAAGGUAGCGUAAUCACUUGUCCCCUAAAUAGAGACUAGUAUGAACGGCUAAAUGAGGGUUCACCUGUCUCCUACGGCCAAUCAGUGAAACUGAUCUUCCAGUCCAAAAGCUGGAAUAAACACAUAAGACGAGAAGACCCUGUGGAGCUUAAAAUUAAAGCCACCAAAACCAACCAUCAAUAAAACAUGGCCUACAAUUUUAAGUUGGGGCGACUUCGGAACCAAACAAAACUUCCGAGCAUAAGAACAUACAUCAUCCCUAGGCCAACAUGCCUAAGCACAAACCGACCCAGUCACACUGAUCAACGAACCAAGUUACCCCAGGGAUAACAGCGCCAUCUUCUUCAAGAGUUCCUAUCGCCAAGAAGGUUUACGACCUCGAUGUUGGAUCAGGACACCCAAAUGGUGUAGCCGCUAUUAAAGGUUCGUUUGUUCAACGAUUAACAGUCCUACGUGAUC
RNAcentral lists this ribosomal RNA (537 nucleotides) under Polychrus peruvianus (Peruvian bush anole). Its description in RNAcentral is "partial 16S ribosomal RNA". It matches the Rfam family "Bacterial large subunit ribosomal RNA", at positions 1814 to 2605 of the family's 2925-position model. Lineage: Eukaryota; Metazoa; Chordata; Lepidosauria; Squamata; Polychrotidae. The record is from RNAcentral.